CAAAAUUGAAAGUCAGUUGGAGGGAAAUGUGGUUGAGACCGGUCAGAAAUAGUCUGCAGAAAGAGAGAUAUAAGACAUACCCCGUAAUGGGGAAUAACUGAAUAACGAUAGGUAAAACUAUAAAUAAACAGAAUACGCAUGCUAUAAGGGCUUUUUUUUCCUACGAACAAGAAGACUAUUCUAUUUCUAGCACUUUUCUACUUUCUAGAAAUAGU
This 215-nucleotide long non-coding RNA is filed under the name Ananas comosus (pineapple). RNAcentral's name for it is "long non-coding RNA (ACOM_LNC005682)". Lineage: Eukaryota; Viridiplantae; Streptophyta; Magnoliopsida; Poales; Bromeliaceae. The record is from RNAcentral.